RNAcentral lists this transfer RNA (74 nucleotides) under Candidatus Pacearchaeota archaeon. Its description in RNAcentral is "tRNA-Asn". It matches the Rfam family "tRNA". From Rfam's summary of the family: Transfer RNA (tRNA) molecules are approximately 80 nucleotides in length. The record is from RNAcentral. Lineage: Archaea; Nanobdellati.
GUCCCGGUAGCUCAGUUGGUUAGAGCGCAUGGCUGUUAACCAUGAAGUCGUAGGUUCGAGUCCUACCCGGGACG